Molecule: long non-coding RNA, 3518 nt
Organism: Biomphalaria glabrata
Lineage: Eukaryota; Metazoa; Mollusca; Gastropoda; Planorbidae
Exons: 2
Source: RefSeq, a predicted model, not a curated record
UGUGGAUUAGGAACUAGCUUUGCUAACCAUAAAACAAAUAUUCUAAACUAGGCCUAUAUGUUGAAAGUAUUAUAACCCAAAAUCUAAUUUUUUCAAUUGAAUUUUGUUCUUCAUACUUGUUUUAAGAGUUGAGUCUAAGACUUGAAACUCUAGGUCUAUGGAAACUUGCCUCCAAUUGUGUGACAAUUUUGUACAUUAUUAACUUAAAUGUACUGCUUAAAAUUUAAAUUUUGUACAUUAUUAACUUAAAUGUACUGCUUAAAAUUUAAAUUUUGUACAUUAUUAACUUAAAUGUACUGCUUAAAAUUUAAAGUGUUAUUUUUCAAAUAUUGUGAGUUUAAGAGUUUCACCGAAAAAAAAACCUAAUGUAAGGCCAAUGUGCUUAAUACGCUUGGCUUGGGGCGUGGCUACCUAUCAAGGGGGCUCAAGUUCAAAACCCGACUCAAGCAGAGUAGUGUUUGCAAAAUGCCUAAAAGCAUGAAAAUAUUUCAAGAUUUUUCAUUUUAUAGAAAUAAAAAAAAAAAAUAAAUUUCUUAACAAAAUUGUAUUAUCGAUUUUAUUGUUGUACUUCAUAGAAAUAUAUUAAUAUUUAAUACGGUAUAUCUUGUUUUGUAACUUUAUAGACUUAAAAUGUGAGAGCAAAUAUUGUCAAUUAUUUUAAAAAUAUAACAUUUUAAAAAUCAUAUUAAAAAACAGAACGUCCGUCAUGGCAACCACAAAAGUUACACAGAAUUUCCUGUUUUUUCCACUUAAUCGGGUGUAUCAACUAAUCAGUUUUCAUAUAUUUCUGAUCUAUGUUAAAAAAAAAGAUUUAAGUAAUCCUCCCUAAUAAAUAAUGAAUACUAAAUAAUAAAUAAUGAAUACUGUUUGAAUAUUUUAUUAAGUGAGAGUUUCAUAUAUUUUUGAAAUUACAAAAAACUGGUGGUGUGGUAUGCACCGCUUAACUGUCGUCCUUGUGGUCCCUUGUUUGAACCUUGCACACCAUCCCCCACCCCCCUCCGCGGGAGGUUUGGUCUAGGAUGUAAUAAUCUUCAAUUCUGAAAGAACAUCCGAAACAUUUCAAACAUGCAUAACAAAUUUAAUUGAUAUCUUUUUGUUCAAUGGCUUGUAAAUCAGAUGAUAUUAAAUUGGAUGUUCUUUUUUUUUUUUACAAAGCUUUUAUUAACUCACUCCGUCUGUCUGUCUGGUACAAAUUUUGUACACGCUAUUUCUCCCACUUCACAUUAUCGGAUCAAGUUGAAAGAUCAAAACAUAAAACAAUGCAUACAUCAUUUAACUUCAAAGUAGAAAACAUAAAGUGCUUCAUUUCAAUGGAAGAGGUAGCCUAUACAUAUUUUAAUGAAGUUCUAGGAGCUAGAAAUUUGUGACUAAUUAUCAAAGAUUAGACAUGUCACUUCAAGCUCAGUACAAGAACUGUUUCUUGAAGUCGAUCUGUAUAACUCUUACGGAGGGAGGGAAGCAACUCUGUAACCCCGUCCUCUGCUAAACAUAACUAAACACAAAUCCAGGUAGACACUUGAGACAUAACUAAACACAAAUCCAGGUAGACACUUGAGACAUAACUAAACACAAAUCCAGGUCAACACUUGAGACAUAACUAAACACAAAUCCAGGUAUUCACUUGAGACGAUAUAAGUGAAUGACCUUUGAUUCGUAAGAGCUUUAAAUCAUUAAGUUUCCUAAAUAGUGUUGUUGAUCGAUAUUUAUUUGAUCAAUCUCAAUAACAUUGAUAACGUAGCCUCUCAAUAACAUUGAUAACGUAGCCUCUCAAUAACAUUGAUAACGUAGCCUCUCAAUAACAUUGAUAACGUAGCCUCUCAAUAGCAAUGAAGGAUAAUACCAACUGUGUCUAUAAGGACAAUAAUUAUAAUAGGUCACCGUACAUCUUACAAACUCAUUAAUUUCUCUGAUGGCAAGAUUCCUCGUGCUCCACUCUCUGUAGCACAUUUUUUAGCGGCCCCCGAAAGGGGAAAAGACGCUAUUAGUUUUGUGUGAAAUGUCUGUCCGUAUGUCCGUCCCUAUUAGAUCUCGUAAACUAGAAAAGAUAGUGAAAAUCCGACAUCAUAAUAUUUUAGUCCAUUCAAAGUUCUAUCAUAUUUUUUAACACUUUUAUGCAAAUGGUUUUUAGACUUUUUGUUUAAAAAAUUAUUAUUUUUUUUUACAUUUAUAUUGCUGCGUUAUGUAAGUUCUGACCUACUAACUACUACAUUUAACCAAAAAAAUAUGUUUACUUUUUUUUAAGAGAAAAAAAUCUAUUUAGUAUGCAUAUAAGUUGGACAUAAUUUAAAACAACAAUUAAUAAGUAGGUGUUCAUAUUAUCGCGUGAACCGCAGUCAGAUAUCCCACAAUACAACACUCAACUAUAGGAUUUUUUUUUUUUUACGGAAAUGUUUUAUUUUUUUAUUUUUUUUUAGGAUUUGAAUUAGAGAUUGACCCUUUACAAAACAAUUAGAUCAAUUAGCUAUUCAUUAUAAGACAUCAGUUAGGCUAGGCUCGCAUUUAACUUCACUUUCACCUAUCCUUUGGUCUGCUGGACCACUUGGGCACCACACGAGAUCUAUCAGCCUUCUUUCUCCAUUCUCAUGUCAUUGGUCUUUGAUAUAAUUUAAUUCUGAUGUUCUUUCUGAAAAUAUUGAUACCUGCCUUUUUACCUGCCUGGGUGGACCACUUCGGGGGCCGAUUUUGAGUUUGUGUUUCCACACAAACUGUCUUUGUAACCUUGUUUUUACUAUUCUUCUGAUUGGAUUGCCAACUCUACAUAGUUCAGGAAUCAGGGUGGAACCUGGACACUGGACAGGUAUUUCGAAAACGGCUCUAACGAUUUUCCUAGAAAUUUGACAGUUUAUGUAUAUCUUUGAGGAAAAAAGAAACUACCUUAUUGGCAACGGUGAAAACAAUGGUUUGACUGUUAUACUUAUGUACAAUAUAAUCAUAUUAAAAUUUACUUUUGUCUCAUGACUUGAACACGGCUCAGAGGAACUUCCCGCACUCCACUCAAAUGUUUCUUUGGAUUCAGUCAAGAGUUGAAUUAAUAAAUAGACGUCAUGAACAUUUUGCCUUAUAUAGAAUUCAUUUUCUUAUCUUCUUAUCUUAUGAAAUACAGACGUUGCUUCAAAAUAGAAGAUGAUUACGUCCUGCGCGUGUUCCUAGGUUAAUCUAGUCAUGCAUGCUAACCAAUCAUUGGUCAUUAGUUUUCAUUAGCUAGACCAGGGGUCGGCAACCUUUUGUGUUGAAAGAGCCAAAAAUUACAAUUUACCAAAUUUAAAGUUUUUAAAGAGCCACACAUUUUUUCUUGCCAACAAUAAAUAGUACUAGCUCAAACUAUUUUCUAGUUACAAAAACAAAAAAACGAAUCUAUUAAUUCAUACAUACGUGUUUUCUUACAACAAAUUUGGUUUUGCAAAGUUUGGACACAUUUGGCUCAGAACUUAUUUUUAGUUUCAAACACGACUCUAAAUUUUCGAUUGUUAGUUGGCUUGUUACUUUAGUUUUAAUUAUAUUCAUACAAAAAAAAACAA